UUUAAAGGUCUCAAGUUUAAAUCUUAAAAUAAAAUUACAUAAAAGAAAGUUAUCUAAAAAAUUUAUAGAAUUACAACAUUUUGUUAAAUAGAACUAAAACAUGGAUUCUUUAUUUCUUUUGACCAAUCAACUAAAACAUGUAUAAGUGAUAUAACUUUAUGCUACAUGGUUGAUACCUUUCUCAACUUUAUUUUUUCUUCUUUUUCUUUUUUCCACUUUUGAAUUGACCAGCAUUUUAUAAGAAGGCUUUUAUUUGAAUGCAAAUGUCUAUCAUUCAAAUUAAGUU
Molecule: long non-coding RNA, 286 nt
Filed under: Durio zibethinus
Lineage: Eukaryota; Viridiplantae; Streptophyta; Magnoliopsida; Malvales; Malvaceae
Description: long non-coding RNA (DZIB_LNC001315)
Source: RNAcentral